UACGGAGGGGGCGAGCGUUGUCCGAAGUUACUGGGCAUAAAGCGCACGUAGGCCGUUCACUAAGUCCAAUGUGAAAUCCCCCGGCUCAACCGGGGAACUGCAUCGGAUACUGGUGGACUCGAGAGUUGUAGGGGUGGACGGAACUCCAGGUGGAGCGGUGAAAUGCGUAGAUAUCUGGAGGAACACCGGAGGCGAAAGCGGUCCACUGGGCAACUUCUGACGCUGAGGUGCGAAAGCUAGGGUAGCAAACGGG
This 253-nucleotide ribosomal RNA is filed under the name uncultured bacterium. RNAcentral describes it as "partial 16S ribosomal RNA". It matches the Rfam family "Bacterial small subunit ribosomal RNA", at positions 524 to 776 of the family's 1533-position model. The record is from RNAcentral.